This 453-nucleotide long non-coding RNA is filed under the name Zea mays. RNAcentral describes it as "drought responsive lncRNA". The record is from RNAcentral. Lineage: Eukaryota; Viridiplantae; Streptophyta; Magnoliopsida; Poales; Poaceae.
GUCCGUAUUGUAGCUGUUCAAAAGCUCUUGCAGCCAAACUGGUUGGACAUGAGACACUGUUGUAGUGCUGCAAAGGUGCCCCACCCGGGACAGGGAAUCAGCCACAAUGUUCUCUUUGCCCUUGCGAUAGACUACUUUGAAUUGCAGACCCAUCAGACGAGUCAUGGCCUUUCUCUGCAUGUCUGAAUGAAGAUGUUGCUCAGUGAGGUAUGAGAGGCUUUGAUGGUCAGUUCGGAUGAUAAACUCCUGUCGUUGGAGAUAUGUGCGCCAUCUUUCCACCGCCAUGAUAAGCGCUAGGAAUUCCUUCUCAUAAAUUGAAAGUUUCUGAUGUUGGGGCCCAAGUGCUUUACUGAGAAAAGCCACUGGUUGGUCUCGCUGAAUUAGUACAGCGCCAAUGCCGGUAUCACUUGCAUCAGUUUCCACAAUAAAGGGUUGUGAAAAAUCUGGAAUAGC